GGCAUAUGGAGGUUCCCAGGCUAGGAGUCAAAUUGGAGCCACAGCUGCCCACCCAUGCCACAGCCACAGCAAUGACAGAUCCGAGCUGCCUCUGCGACAUACACCACAGCCCACAGCAACGCCGGAUCCUCAACCUACUGAGCGAGUGCAGGGAUCGAACCCGCAACCUCAUGUUUCCCAGUCAGAUUCAUUUCCGCUGCCCCAUGACAGAAAUCCCAGAGCCUGAGACUAAAAGGUAGAGCAAGCAUUUCUGGUAGAUGUGUUAAGAGAAUGAGAUGGUGGCCGUGUUUGAGCUGAGCUCGGAGAUGUGAGUUAAGUGCAGAGACAGGAUGAGUGGGGAAAACUUUCAAACAGAGGAAACAGACUAAACCAAAACUCAGAAAUGGGAAAGUGCAAUGCUUAUUUAAGGAAAAACAAAUAGAUCAAAUUGGCUGAAGUAUAAGGUCUAUGUAGAGGAAAUAGUAGGGGAUGAGGCCAGAAAGGUUGGUUGGGGACAAAUUAUGGAGGGCUUUGAAUGACAGGCAGAUGAAUGUGAGCUGUGCUUAGUAGGCAAUAGGGAGCCAUUGAAGGCUUUAGGGCCCCAGGAUGAUGUGAUCAAGUAGUACCUGAGGAAGAUUAAUUUAGUUGUAGUUUAUAGAAUGAAUUAGAGCAUAUGAAGAGUGCACAGGGUUUGUUGCAUGAAAGGCACCCUGUAAAUGCUUGUGGAAUAAAAUGUUUGACUAGAGCAAAGAAGAGGCUGUUGCAAAAGUCUAGGUGCAAGGUGAUAAAGCCAUUACGGAUCUAACAAUGAGAAAUAAAGAGCAAGGGAAGAAGGCUGUGAUAUUCACAUGAGGAUGACCUGCCAUGUAGUUGAAGGGAGGAAAAGAGUCACUCUUUGCUCUCAAGUCUGGAACCUGAGUGACCAGUAGAGCUCUGGGGGCACUCCCUGCACAAAGAAAGUCAGAGGAGGCUCUGGAUGUGCUAGAUGGGGACAAGACUUUGAAUUACAGAUGGGAAAUGGGGCCUACCAGGGGGAUCAGAGCUGGUGAUUCUGGUCCAGGAGGAGUGACUUCUGGAGGCACGUGGGCCAGUGGGCAGAACCUGGAGCAGUGCCCACAGUUUGGUGUUGGAAGAAGAAAAAGUGGCCAUCUUAGGAGACACAAAAAUGGUCAUAGCCAUGUGAGGAUGAAGUUAGGACAGAGUCUGGAAUUUAAGGGAGAGGGGCUUUUAAAGACGGAAGCACUGAGAGAUGUGCUCUAGGCUGCAGACAGGCAGGGAUGUGACACAGCAGAGGCUGUGCAUGGGAUUCAGCAGUUAGGUCCUCACUGUUGACCUUGGAGAGAGUAGCUUCAAUGAGCAAUGGAGAUGUUUCAGUUCCAUGCAUCAAGCCCCAAACUGGACUUUGAUGGGGUCCUCCACUCAUACGCAUCAGUUUCUUUCUCUCUUUUUGUUCUAACUCUACCUGAUCCUUCCACUGCUGGCAUUUGGCUAGACCUACUCUUCCUAUUCCUAUGGCACAAAAGAACCCUUAAGGCAAAUGGCCUUUGGUAAAACCUCAAUGACCAUGAAAUUCCAUCGCCCAAGUAAUAGAAGUAGGUACAGCCUAGAAUCAGUUUCUCUUAGGUCUGCUGACUUCUGUCCUUCUGGCCUGAUUCCCUCUAUAACCUAUAGCUAGAGUUCAAUGCCAACUUAUACAGCUUGUUUUAUGAUUGACAGUCAGCCCUAGAGUUCUUUCUCUUGCUGUAUUUAUCAAGACUCUUUGGUUGCAAGUGACAGAAACUCAAUUUGAAUUAUCUUAUUCUAACAAAUGGAAUUUGCUGGUACGUGUAUCUGGGGAAUUUAGCCACUGCUGGAUUAAGGGACUCAGUGAUGUCAUCAGGGUUCUUUUUCUCUGUGUCCACACUCUGCCUGUCUCUGCUUGGCUUCAUUAUUUCCUCCUGCAGAGAGGUCUUUCUUGGGUGUCAGCGAGGGUUUCCAUCUGUAGCUUCCCCCACCCCCAUAACAUUCGAACUGGAAAAAUCCCAGGGAAGAACAAUGAUUGGCCAGAGGGGGUCCCAGGCCUAUCCUUGAACCAUCCCUAUGCCCAAGGGCAUGAGGAGCAAUCGUUGGCUGGACCCUAAUGGCAUGCCAUCUCUGCUUUGAGGGGACAUCACAGCAACCCAUUAGGAUGCCAUGACUGACAUGGCAGAGAAGCAGUUUCACAAAGGAAGGCGGGGUGGUGGUAGGUGAUGGCGAGGGGGGUCAGCUCAAAGUAGCAGAUGUCCAAUGAUGCUCCGUCUCCUUGGCUUACAGUGUCUCUGUCACCUAGUGAGACUGUGCCUGCCGGUCUCCCAUCCCCAUCACUGCCCUAAUUAGUGGGCAGAGAACUAGCGAUAAAGCCGAGUGCCGCGGCAUCCCUCCUCCUCUGCUCUGGGCUCGCUUCGUGACAGCCGUCACCUACCUGGGCAGGUGUCUCCUGGUUUCCAGAGGCCCCAGGCUGGGGUGGCAGGGGAGGCUUAGAUCAGGGUGGUGACGGGCUGGCUGAGGUGUGCGGGGGCAGAGGCAGAGCCAGCCCUGGCUGCUGAGCGGGAUGAGAUGAAGGUGCUCUGAGGCAGAAGCCUGAGGGCAGAUUGCCCACUUGCUGCCUGAAUCCGCAGGAGGACUUGGUGCUUUCUGAGGGCCCGCACCGACUUGCUCUGUGACCUUAGGCUAGACACUUAAUUGCUCAGGGCUGCUUCCCCUCAUUCUCCAUCUGGCAAGCUGAAUAAUGACACCACGGAGCUGGCAGGAGCUGCACCUUUUUGGUGGGGGUUGUGGACUUGGAGGUUGGUGCUCUGGAAAAGGGCUCCCAGGCCAUGCUGUACCCCUGGGCGUGGGCCCCCUGGGCCCAGGGCCCCCCAGGCUGCUUGGCAGAGAGCAGGUCUCUGUGGCUCUUUGGCCUCAGGUUUUCUGUUUCAAUCUCCCAAAUUAUUUGCUUUUGCAGCUGACUGAAAAAUAGAUGUCCUUUUCCACACUCAUAGUUGAGGUGGAUGUGUGGAUUUCCAGGUGCUUAAAAACAUUUGCUUUCAGAGCCUGGAGUGUCUAGUGCCACAGAGGCCCUUAUAAGGGGCGGAGGCUUGGGGGGUUGGUGGGGUUUUAUCACUGCCUUUCCCUCUUGUCCCCUCCUCUCCCACCUCAGUACCAGGAACAGUCACAGGAUGUCCUUGGGGAGUGUUUUCAAAUAUACAGACCCAGCAGAGUAUGUGGCGGGGAGGCAGGUAACAGAGGUGGGGAUAUGAUCAAGCCAUAGGGAGGCUUUACCUGUCAAUCUUCAGUAUUUACCCUCUGUGCUGCCAAGCCCUGGAGCGUGCUGUUCAAACUUUACAUUGCUUUGCCAGCCACCAAGAGUUGGAGAAAGAAAUGCAUAUUCCAGGUUCCAGAAGCCUGAGUUUUCAACAAGCAGCUCAGGGGAUCCUGAGAUCAGUGGGACCAGAUCUGAGCAAGGGAAGAGGGUGGAGCUCUGGGCUUUUCAUCUGGGUUGAAUCGGAGCAGCUUAACUUUUAUCUGCUUUGCACAUUGAGGUUCUAGACGCGUGUACACUAGAACAAACGGUUUCACCAUCUCAAAGUAAUUUGAAAGCCACUGAACAAAAGCCAUCUAAUCAUCAUGGCAAUUUUAGAGCCCAGGCUUCUUAGCCUCGCACUCAGGACCUUCCAUGACCUAAUUCCUCUCAAGGUGGUUUUAGCCACAGGCAGCCCAGUAUUUCCCAAAUGGGCUUCCCACAUCUUUCCCACAGUCCUCUUCCUGCAUGAAGCCUUCCAGGAUGGUCCCAGAAAGCCAGAGCCUCUGAGCGCUCCAGGAAGCACAGCUGGAGUGGGAGGGAAGGAGGUGACAUCCCUCCUAUGCCUUAUGUGGAAUUUGCCAAGGUAUCCUCUUGACAUGAUGGAGGUCAGGACGAAAGAGCGAACAUAGGGGACAGGAAGACCGGAAGUCAGAUGGCGUAGAAAGACCUUCCCUUCCCCAUGCCAUGCCCCAGUCUCUCCCCCUGUACUAGAACCUCAUGAUGACUCUGGGCAGGGAGAGUCAGAUGUUCGCCCCAUCAAACCCUCCAGGAGGGCAGAGCAGAUGGGCCCCCACUCCCAGCUCUCACAUCACCCCACUUCUCCUGGACGCAGGCACCACGCAUGGGCUUUCUGCCAGCAGGAUGAAAAUAUGCUGGGCUGGGCACCAGAGCAUGAGGUUGGAGGCACCCCCUAGCCCCACGGCCGAAAAGCUGGACCUCUGGAUUCUGUCCCCCUUUGUUGGAGGAGGAAGCGUGACUGGGGGAGCUGGAAGCACGGGGUUCUCUCAUCCCGAGAGCUGUCAGCCUGACCAGAGCAGGCAUUCAUUUUCAGAAUAAAUAAUCAACUCAAAAAAUGUACCAAAUUCAUUUUCAAAUUGGCUUGUCAGAUACACAUUUGCCCAGGACGAGUCGGUUGAAUAAAAUGUAUCUUGGGGAGCAAGGUGAGCCAGCCUGUCUCAUUCCCUCAGGGACCUCUUGUAAAUAAGGGCCAUUCUGGAGGCCGGAAGCAGAGAAUUCCCCAGAACAGAUUGAAUUCUGGCUUUGUCUUAAUGAACGUCAAUAUUUAUUACCAAAGGCGUUGUGCUCCUUGGAGUGAUCGAGCCUUUCACCAUUUCAGCUCUCGCCUGUUGCCUUCCCAGGUACCAAACGCUGUGUAAUUGCUGCUCAUAAAGGCGGCAGACACUAUUGCCAGGGAAACUCACUCCGGGCUGUAAAUCUGCAUCGUCAAAACCAGCGGGGCUUUGCUUUCCGUUUGGAUGGAGCGUGAGCGUCCCUGAGGGUAGGGCCCACCCAGAUUUUCUGGUUUUCCUCCUUUAGCAGAGAGACUCCCUUAGCCCCCCUCAGAGGAAGGGCUCUUCCUGGGAUCAGCAGGAGAAGGGCUGGAAAAGCUGAGACGUGGUGGAAGUUAUACCCCCAGCCCAGAGCUGAGGGAGAGAGAAUCCCUCCUCCUGUGUGUAUUAGGGCCUGUGAGGUUGUCCCGUCAACUCUCACUCCUCGAAUAGGGAAGCUGAGGCUCAGAGACAGGCG
RNAcentral lists this long non-coding RNA (5026 nucleotides) under Sus scrofa (pig). RNAcentral describes it as "lncRNA (ENSSSCG00050064361.1)". Lineage: Eukaryota; Metazoa; Chordata; Mammalia; Artiodactyla; Suidae. The record is from RNAcentral.